CUGGACUGGCGGGGGAGGUGCUACAGAAGGCCAUGCCGGUGGAGCAGGGAAGAGGCAUCUGGGCUCUUGAGGUGGAGUAGUGGGAGAGGGAGGUGGGUCUGGACGUGGAGCAGGCGGGGGGAGCUUGAGGAGCACCGCUGGGACAGAGGUGGCGGAGCAGAGAGGGGCGGCGCUGGCUCUCAGGUGGAGGAGCAGUGAGGGGCGACGCCAUGUGGAGGAGGGACUUGGGACGGCUCUGACCCAGAGGAGGAGCUACACCCGUGGGAGGCUCGAUCGCUGCUCCCCUUGCUCUCUCCGUACUCCCCAUCCCAUAAUGCAAAAUAAUGAAUGGAGGGCUGCAAAACAGAUGUUUGCCUUUGAGUCAUGUGGACGGUUGGAUCUAGACUGGAUGUUGGAUGAGAAGGGUAAAGGUGCAGCGUGCCUUCACUUGGUGAAUUAAAUGGAUGUCGGUCCAUAUUUUGAUGAUCAACAACUGACAUAUUCUCUAAUCGACAGCCUAAUACCAGGUGAAGAUGCUGCCUCUUUCUGCCACCGUUUCUAUAUGUUUUGUCCAUAGUAAAAGACCCAUGAAUGUCUAACCUGAUCUUCCUACGGUCCAUCCAAGUAUGACAACCGCUAUUGUGCCAAAACUGGUGUGAAGAUAGACCUUUUGUAGCAAGAUGAGCUUCCUCAUCUGCAGCACAAGUAUGCUGUUUACCCUUCUUCUUCUUUUUUGCAGCCGCUAACAUAUCCUGUAUGCAACAGUGUUAUGAAGUCACAUUUUCUUCUAACUUCAGAACAUCGAUCAUGGGAGUAAAAGAUCUGCCACUCAAAUCAAGACAGAGAUCAUGGACCGUUCACAUAGCUCUAGGUGUUAUGGUCUUUGCUACCAGCUUUAUGUGUUUGUAAGGGUUUUGAUUUCCUUUUGGUUUGGCUGGUACCAGCUUCUAACUUGUGAACAAGACUGUACAAUGUGUUUUAACGAUGUUAUCUUCCAAUUAACCAGAAGACAAUACACAAGUUUCUCUUAGGCCC
Long non-coding RNA from Lolium rigidum, 1014 nucleotides. RefSeq lists it as uncharacterized. The transcript has 3 exons. The record is from RefSeq and is a predicted model, not a curated record. Lineage: Eukaryota; Viridiplantae; Streptophyta; Magnoliopsida; Poales; Poaceae.